GAUGAACGCUAGCUACAGGCUUAACACAUGCAAGUCGAGGGGCAGCACGUAGGUAGCAAUACUGAGGUGGCGACCGGCGCACGGGUGCGUAACGCGUAUCCAACCUUCCCGUUACUCUUGGAUAGCCUUCCGAAAGGGAGAUUAAUACAAGAUGGUAUUCAAAUUCCGCAUGUUAUUUGAAUUAAAGAUUUAUCGGUAACGGAUGGGGAUGCGUGACAUUAGGUAGAUGGCGGGGUAACGGCCCACCAUGCCUACGAUGUCUAGGGGUUCUGAGAGGAAGGUCCCCCACACUGGAACUGAGACACGGUCCAGACUCCUACGGGAGGCAGCAGUGAGGAAUAUUGGUCAAUGGUCGGAAGACUGAACCAGCCAAGUAGCGUGAAGGAUGAAGGUUCUAUGGAUUGUAAACUUCUUUUAUACGGGAAUAAAACCUCCCACGUGUGGGAGCUUGUAUGUACCGUAUGAAUAAGCAUCGGCUAACUCCGUG
This 487-nucleotide ribosomal RNA is filed under the name uncultured bacterium. RNAcentral describes it as "bacterial SSU rRNA". It matches the Rfam family "Bacterial small subunit ribosomal RNA", at positions 28 to 507 of the family's 1533-position model. The record is from RNAcentral.